GACGAACGCUGGCGGUGUGCUUAACACAUGCAAGUCGAACGGUAAGGCCCUUUCGGGGGUACACGAGUGGCGAACGGGUGAGUAACACGUGAGUAACCUGCCCUCAUCUCUGGGAUAACAGUCGGAAACGGUUGCUAAUACUGGAUAUGAGCUUGCAAGGAAUCUUGUGGGUUGGAAAGAUUUUUUUUGGUUGGGGAUGGACUCGCGGCCUAUCAGCUUGUUGGUGAGGUAGUGGCUCACCAAGGCUUCGACGGGUAGCCGGCCUGAGAGGGCGACCGGCCACAUUGGGACUGAGAUACGGCCCAAACUCCUACGGGAGGCAGCAGUGGGGAAUAUUGCACAAUGGACGGAAGUCUGAUGCAGCAACGCCGCGUGCGGGAUGACGGCCUUCGGGUUGUAAACCGCUUUCAAUUGUGACGAAGCUUUUUUGUGACGGUAGCAGUAGAAGAAGCACCGGCUAACUACGUG
This 468-nucleotide ribosomal RNA is filed under the name uncultured bacterium. RNAcentral's name for it is "partial 16S ribosomal RNA". It matches the Rfam family "Bacterial small subunit ribosomal RNA", at positions 28 to 507 of the family's 1533-position model. The record is from RNAcentral.